UACGGAGGGGGCUAGCGUUGUUCGGAAUUACUGGGCGUAAAGCGCGCGUAGGCGGCUUUGUAAGUUAGAGGUGAAAGCCCGGAGCUCAACUCCGGAAUUGCCUUUAAGACUGCAUCGCUAGAACGUCGGAGAGGUGAGUGGAAUUCCGAGUGUAGAGGUGAAAUUCGUAGAUAUUCGGAAGAACACCAGUGGCGAAGGCGACUCACUGGACGACUGUUGACGCUGAGGUGCGAAAGCGUGGGGAGCAAAC
Molecule: ribosomal RNA, 250 nt
Filed under: uncultured Sphingomonas sp.
Lineage: Bacteria; Pseudomonadati; Pseudomonadota; Alphaproteobacteria; Sphingomonadales; Sphingomonadaceae
Description: partial 16S ribosomal RNA
Rfam family: Bacterial small subunit ribosomal RNA
Source: RNAcentral